UUGAACGCUGGCGGCAGGCCUCACACAUGCAAGUCGCGCGGAUGAAGGGAGCUUGCUCCUGGAUUCAGCGGCGGACGGGUGAGUAAUGCCUAGGAAUCUGCCUGGUAGUGGGGGAUAACGUCCGGAAACGGGCGCUAAUACCGCAUACGUCCUGAGGGAGAAAGUGGGGGAUCUUCGGACCUCACGCUAUCAGAUGAGCCUAGGUCGGAUUAGCUAGUUGGUGGGGUAAAGGCCUACCAGGGCGACGAUCCGUAACUGGUCUGAGAGGAUGAUCAGUCACACUGGAACUGAGACACGGUCCAGACUCCUACGGGAGGCAGCAGUGGGGAAUAUUGGACAAUGGGCGAAAGCCUGAUCCAGCCAUGCCGCGUGUGUGAAGAAGGUCUUCGGAUUGUAAAGCACUUUAAGUUGGGAGGAAGGGCAGUAAGUUAAUACCUUGCUGUUUUGACGUUACCAACAGAAUAAGCACCGGCUAACUUCGUG
Molecule: ribosomal RNA, 483 nt
Filed under: uncultured bacterium
Lineage: Bacteria
Description: partial 16S ribosomal RNA
Rfam family: Bacterial small subunit ribosomal RNA
Source: RNAcentral